This 759-nucleotide ribosomal RNA is filed under the name uncultured Lactococcus sp. Its description in RNAcentral is "bacterial SSU rRNA". It matches the Rfam family "Bacterial small subunit ribosomal RNA", at positions 1 to 770 of the family's 1533-position model. The record is from RNAcentral. Lineage: Bacteria; Bacillati; Bacillota; Bacilli; Lactobacillales; Streptococcaceae.
CGCCCUUAGAGUUUGAUCAUGGCUCAGGACGAACGCUGGCGGCGUGCCUAAUACAUGCAAGUUGAGCGUUGGUACUUGUACCAAGAGCAGCGAACGGGUGAGUAACGCGUGGGGAAUCUGCCUUUGAGCGGGGGACAACAUUUGGAAACGAAUGCUAAUACCGCAUAAAAACUUAACACAAGUUUAAGUUGAAAGAUGAUUGCAUCACUCAAAGAUGAUCCCGCGUUGUAUUAGCUAGUUGGUGAGGUAAAGGCUCACCAAGGCGAUGAUACAUAGCCGACCUGAGAGGGUGAUCGGCCACAUUGGGACUGAGACACGGCCCAAACUCCUACGGGAGGCAGCAGUAGGGAAUCUUCGGCAAUGGACGAAAGUCUGACCGAGCAACGCCGCGUGAGUGAAGAAGGUUUUCGGAUCGUAAAACUCUGUUGGUAGAGAAGAACGUUGGUGAGGAAACUCAUCAAGUGACGGUAACUACCCAGAAAGGGACGGCUAACUACGUGCCAGCAGCCGCGGUAAUACGUAGGUCCCGAGCGUUGUCCGGAUUUAUUGGGCGUAAAGCGAGCGCAGUGGUUUAUUAAGUCUGGUGUAAAAGGCAGUGGCUCAACCAUUGUAUGCAUUGGAAACUGGUAGACUUGAGUGCAGGAGAGGAGAGUGGAAUUCCAUGUGUAGCGGUGAAAUGCGUAGAUAUAUGGAGGAACACCGGUGGCGAAAGCGGCUCUCUGGCCUGUACUGACACUGAGGCUCGAAGCGUGGGGAGCA